Molecule: long non-coding RNA, 219 nt
Filed under: Mytilus galloprovincialis (Mediterranean mussel)
Lineage: Eukaryota; Metazoa; Mollusca; Bivalvia; Mytilida; Mytilidae
Source: RNAcentral
AAUUUAAACCCCCCCUUUUUUUUCACAUCCCCGUUUCCCUUUUUCCAAAACUGAUAUCAAUUCAAAUUUCUAAUGGAGUUUGCAACAAUAACUACUCUUUUAAAUACAUCAUAAAAUAUUAAAAUGUAAAAUAAAGUGCUUGUUAUCACUAAAUGGUAAAGAUUGGUUGGUAGUAAAAGUGAAUAUACAUUGUUUAUUGUAUAAAACAAUAAAAAAAAC